This 200-nucleotide non-coding RNA is filed under the name Candidatus Falkowella caecavicola. The record is from RNAcentral. Lineage: Bacteria; Bacillati; Bacillota; Clostridia.
AGAACUGAUAAUCCAAAGAGUGGAAUGAAGGAGUAACGCUCUGAAACGCUCUCCCUAAUACUUCGGCAGGCACAGUCCAAAAGGCUGAUGUCUGAAGCCCGAGAAAGUCGGCAGAGAGUUACCGUCUUGCGAUUAUGUUACAACGCAACGAAAGCUAUCCAGAGGUGGAUGGUGUAACCUAUAUGCCGGGGGUCUACAAA